Molecule: non-coding RNA, 119 nt
Organism: Arabis alpina (gray rockcress)
Lineage: Eukaryota; Viridiplantae; Streptophyta; Magnoliopsida; Brassicales; Brassicaceae
Source: Rfam
GGGUGCAAUCAUACCAGCACUAAUGCACCGGAUCCCAUCAGAACUCCGGGGUUAAACGUGCUUGGGCGAGAGUAGUACUAGGAUGGGUGACCUCCUGGGAAGUCCUCGUGUUGCACCCC